GAUGAACGCUGGCGGCGUGCCUAAUACAUGCAAGUCGAGCGAACAGACGAGGAGCUUGCUCCUCUGACGUUAGCGGCGGACGGGUGAGUAACACGUGGAUAACCUACCUAUAAGACUGGGAUAACUUCGGGAAACCGGAGCUAAUACCGGAUAAUAUAUUGAACUGCAUGGUUCAAUAGUUAAAGACGGUUUUGCUGUCACUUAUAGAUGGAUCCGCGCCGCAUUAGCUAGUUGGUAAGGUAACGGCUUACCAAGGCGACGAUGCGUAGCCGACCUGAGAGGGUGAUCGGCCACACUGGAACUGAGACACGGUCCAGACUCCUACGGGAGGCAGCAGUAGGGAAUCUUCCGCAAUGGGCGAAAGCCUGACGGGGCAACGCCGCGUGAGUGAUGAAGGUCUUCGGAUCGUAAAACUCUGUUAUUAGGGAAGAACAAAUGUGUAAGUAACUAUGCACGUCUUGACGGUACCUAAUCAGAAAGCCACGGCUAACUACGUG
RNAcentral lists this ribosomal RNA (497 nucleotides) under uncultured bacterium. RNAcentral's name for it is "partial 16S ribosomal RNA". It matches the Rfam family "Bacterial small subunit ribosomal RNA", at positions 28 to 507 of the family's 1533-position model. The record is from RNAcentral.